AUGUCAGGCAUGAAUGCUGGUAUGGGAUCUGCUCGUGGUGAUCAACUGGAGGCAGGAUUUGCGAAGCUUCAAGGCGAAGACUUCCAGUACAUCAUGCAAUCUUAUGAAAUCAUCGUGGGACGCAAUUCCAAGAAAGGAAAGGUAGACUUUGAUCUUAGCGCCGUUGGUGGAGAUAGGGAUGUUUCCCGCCGCCAUGCACGCAUCUUCUAUGAUUUUCAACACCGCUCGUUUGCCCUUGAGGUUCUGGGCCAACAUGGCUGCUAUGUUCAGAGGGUCCUUCACCGCCCAGGUGAUGAUCCCGUUAAACUGAAGUCUCAGGAUCUCAUUCAGAUUGGACAAACACAAUUCUACUUUCUCCUACCAGCUCGCCCCAUCUUUGCAUCCUUUGCUGCUGAGGGCACGCCACACUCAUUUAAUUUUCGUGGCCAAACCAUUCAUAUUGAUUCCGCCGCCACAGCUUCUCCUUGGCAAACUCAUAUUCCAUCACAACCCAUGUCUUCAUCCGGCAAGCGCCCUGCCCAUUCUGAUUUUUCUGCUUCUCGUCACAAUGGUUAUGGCGGGGCCAAUUGUGGCAAUGGAAUUAAUGUUGGCACUGGAACUCAAGGACUGUUUACGGUGCCAAUCAAGAUGUCCUCUGCUGAACUGAAGACCGGGCCUAUCAACGUUGAACGUGCCAAAAUAUUAGAAACUAGAAUCGCACACAAGGAUGAAGACAAGAAGUUGGAGUAUCAUCUUGCCUCAUGUGUUGCAAUAAUGCUUACUGGAAAGUUCACUGCGAUAUGGCCCUAUGGCAAUGCCCAAAAGUACCUGGCAGCAGAGGAUGGCUCAUCAACCAGAACAGCUGAGAGGCCAUGGCACAGGCUGUUGGAGCUGCUCAAGAAUCACCCGGAGAGGUUUAUCAUGAGUUCAGUCUCUAGAGGCACAAUAACAUUAGAGUUCGUUUCGCUGGUCAGCUUGGCUGAUAAGUUUUGCUCCCCUGAGGUUGAUCAGGUGGAGUGUGUCGGCGGCGGCGGCGUGUCUCCAGCGACGGCGGUGUCCUCCUGGGCGUGUGGUCAAGCUGGUUGGGUGCUCUUCGUUGGGCUGCAGGGCUCCUCCGGUGCCCGUGGAUUCUCCAGGAUGGGAGGGGAUAGGGUUCCCCUCCUCCGGUGGCUGCUCUUCUGCUCGUCGAGCGAGCCGAUGAUCUGAUUAGGCGUCGUCGGCAGGCUGGGAACGCCUGGUUCCAUCCCUGUGGUUUCCUGCGAUGCCAUUCAUGCAGGUUCUAGGGUGAGCAUGUCCAUCGCUCACCGGUGCGGCGCCUCGAGCCAGGCGAGGAGGCAGGGGCCUUCUGUGACGAUGGAUCUAGAUGGAUGUGUCUCCUUCAAGCCCAAGCGUUCGGCUAUGGCGUGCUUUGCUCCGUCGUCGGUGCUCUUUCCUGAGACGUUUAGCGUUUUUGCCUUGGUUCUCGGCGUGUUUGGGGUUCAUGGCAUCUCUAGCUAUGCUUGCUAG
Molecule: ribosomal RNA, 1485 nt
Filed under: Triticum aestivum (bread wheat)
Lineage: Eukaryota; Viridiplantae; Streptophyta; Magnoliopsida; Poales; Poaceae
Description: partial small subunit ribosomal RNA
Source: RNAcentral